UUUGAAGCCUGAUGACUUCCGUAUGGGCGG
This 30-nucleotide non-coding RNA is filed under the name Mus musculus (house mouse). Lineage: Eukaryota; Metazoa; Chordata; Mammalia; Rodentia; Muridae. The record is from RNAcentral.